RNAcentral lists this ribosomal RNA (368 nucleotides) under uncultured organism. Its description in RNAcentral is "bacterial SSU rRNA". It matches the Rfam family "Bacterial small subunit ribosomal RNA", at positions 526 to 896 of the family's 1533-position model. The record is from RNAcentral.
CGGAGGGUGCAAGCGUUAUCCGGAUUCACUGGGUUUAAAGGGUGCGUAGGUGGGUCUGUAAGUCAGUGGUGAAAUCUCCGAGCUUAACUUGGAAACUGCCAUUGAUACUAUAGAUCUUGAAUAUUGUGGAGGUCAGCGGAAUAUGUCAUGUAGCGGUGAAAUGCUUAGAUAUGACAUAGAACACCAAUUGCGAAGGCAGCUGGCUACGCAUAUAUUGACACUGAGGCACGAAAGCGUGGGGAUCAAACAGGAUUAGAUACCCUGGUAGUCCACGCCCUAAACUAUGGAUACUCGACAUUUGCGAUACACUGCAAGUGUCUGAGCGAAAGCAUUAAGUAUCCCACCUGGGAAGUACGAUCGCAAGAUUG